Molecule: long non-coding RNA, 906 nt
Filed under: Anser cygnoides (Swan goose)
Lineage: Eukaryota; Metazoa; Chordata; Aves; Anseriformes; Anatidae
Description: lncRNA (ENSACDG00005016367.1)
Source: RNAcentral
CCAGGAGAGAGCCCCUCACCUGCGUGAAGCACUCCUGAGGUGGAUGGUUGGUAAAUAGGCUCGGCGGUGGUGGGGAAACCUAGCAUUUUUCAUCACGAACAGCCGCUGGAAAUGGCGUUACAUCGGAAUCAAGCUUGUGCAGAGGCAUUUUAUCAACUCUGAUGGCCUUUAUGCUCAUUUUUUCCCUGCAGCCUCACGCCUCGGGCAGUUCGCUGGGACUGGAGAGCGAAGAGGAGCCGCUUUUGGAGGUGGCUGACGGCAGCCCCGCGACGCUGGAGCUGCGCGCAGAGCCCCGCGGCGCGCUCCCUGCCUACAGGUUUUCUGAAGACAGACUGGGAGAAACUGUUGGCUGCUUUGGGAGAAGCCGGGUGGAGCUGGGAGCAAGCGACGCAGGAGCCCUUGGAUAAGGAUGAGGCCACACCAGCUCCUGCCUGGUCCUGCAGGGCUCAGUGCCGCGUUCCCAAAUGCCUCUGAAGACCAGCGCGCUCCUCCCGAAGGCUGGGACAGCCUCAGAGAGAGGAAAGAGCGGCUUCCUCCGCUCUGCCCGCAGGAAGAGCGUGUCUGCGAGGCGGGGAAGCGGGGUGCCGCGAGCCGGGGUGCGUGGGGUCCCUGCUCAGCCUCCCCUCCCCGUCCUCGUGCCAAGCCCCGUUGUGUCACCUUGCUUUCAGCAGCUGCGACAGGGGGAUGGGAAACUCCUAAAUAUUGCUGGAAAAAUGUGUGGAGGCAUUUUUUUUUGUCUCGCACCGUACGGGCCAGGAGUUUUAGCGGGUUGUUUGCUCGGUUGUUUUUUUUUCUCCUCCUUGCUCGGCUUUUUCUGCAGCCACCUCGCUCUGCAGUGUGUGGGCAGGCGCGGGUUUCUAGCUUUUAGGAAGGCUCCCAGAGCUUAAUGGGGAUGCUGGGGUGUCU